RNAcentral lists this ribosomal RNA (254 nucleotides) under uncultured bacterium. RNAcentral's name for it is "partial 16S ribosomal RNA". It matches the Rfam family "Bacterial small subunit ribosomal RNA", at positions 524 to 776 of the family's 1533-position model. The record is from RNAcentral.
UACGUAGGGUGCAGGCGUUAAUCGGAAUUACUGGGCGUAAAGCGUGCGCAGGCGGCUCCUUAAGUCAGAUGUGAAAGCCCCGGGCUUAACCUGGGAACUGCGUUUGAAACUGGGGAGCUAGAGUGUAGAAGAGGGGGUGGAAUUCCAGGUGUAGCAGUGGAAAUGCGGUAGAUAUCGGGAGGAACACCUGUGGCGAAGGCGGCCCCCUGGUUGGAUACUGACGCUGAGACGCGAAAGCGUGGGGAGCGAACAGG